UAUAUACUCUCUCCGUCCCAAAAUUCUUGUCUUCAAUUUGUCUAGAUAUGAAUGUAUCUAAACAUGUUUUCUAUACCUACUAAUAAAAGAAUUAUGUAUUCUUAGUCCGUCAUAAUAUUUUAUAGAAAACCCCUGAUGUUUUUAACAUAAAACAUUCAUUUCUAGAUAAACCAAAGACAAGAAUUUUGAGACGGAGGAAGUAUGAU
This 206-nucleotide microRNA precursor is filed under the name Hordeum vulgare. Its description in RNAcentral is "microRNA MIR1122". It matches the Rfam family "MIR1120/MIR1122 microRNA precursor family". Lineage: Eukaryota; Viridiplantae; Streptophyta; Magnoliopsida; Poales; Poaceae. The record is from RNAcentral.